Molecule: ribosomal RNA, 218 nt
Filed under: Acinetobacter sp. 51m
Lineage: Bacteria; Pseudomonadati; Pseudomonadota; Gammaproteobacteria; Moraxellales; Moraxellaceae
Description: partial 16S ribosomal RNA
Rfam family: Bacterial small subunit ribosomal RNA
Source: RNAcentral
UAAACUGAAGAGUUUGAUCAUGGCUCAGAUUGAACGCUGGCGGCAGGCUUAACACAUGCAAGUCGAGCGGGGAAGAGUAGCUUGCUACUUGACCUAGCGGCGGACGGGUGAGUAAUGCUUAGGAAUCUGCCUAUUAGUGGGGGACAACAUCUCGAAAGGGAUGCUAAUACCGCAUACGUCCUACGGGAGAAAGCAGGGGACCUUCGGGCCUUGCGCUA